RNAcentral lists this long non-coding RNA (207 nucleotides) under Lathyrus oleraceus (garden pea). RNAcentral's name for it is "Pisum sativum (pea) long non-coding RNA (PSAT_LNC030087)". Lineage: Eukaryota; Viridiplantae; Streptophyta; Magnoliopsida; Fabales; Fabaceae. The record is from RNAcentral.
UUUUCUCAUUUUUCAUUUAAUCAUUUUAUUUUGAUUAAUUCAUAUCAAUUUCAUUUUUAAUACAAAAAAUAUGGGACUUGCACAAAAAAUCUUUAAAUAUUCUCGUCUUUCAUUUUCUGAAAUAAAAUUAUUUUUUGGAUUAAUUUUAAAAUUUUUCAUGAAGUAAUUGUUUUUGUGCAUAUUUUUAAUUGUUUAAAAAUACUUCUA